This is a long non-coding RNA of Anopheles gambiae (African malaria mosquito), 9925 nucleotides long. RefSeq lists it as uncharacterized. The record is from RefSeq and is a predicted model, not a curated record. NCBI's taxonomy places the organism in Eukaryota, Metazoa, Arthropoda, Insecta, Diptera, Culicidae. The transcript is spliced from 3 exons.
UGGCGUGCAAAAAGCAGAAGAAAAAAAAUAAAACCGGAGCAAUGUAUGGCUGUAUCCGGUCGCCCGGGUGAUGAUGAGGCCCGGUCGGUUACCGUUUGCACAGCGGCCGACAGCCCUCAGCACGGUUGGCCGGCUAGUGGCAGGCCUUGCCCGCUUCGAAGAAUUGACAGUUUAUCGAUGGAAAAGACGCCAACCGCACUCGUAGUGACAAUUUUUACGGUGACUGACUCGGUCGCGGCAGGAAAAUCGCGUACCCGGGUCCCGCUGUACGAUACAGUUACCGUGGAGCAAGCAGCUACAACACGGCAAAGGUGCUUCCCCCGGAUCUGGUGGUGAAUAAAACUACACUUGACAGUGGUGCGCUACAGGGCGGUGUGUUGCAAAGUUUUUAACGCCUUGAAUUUAAGCGCCUUAAUCGUGACGAAAAGUUGUUCCAACGCCACGAAAGGCUGAUCGUGCACCGGAACAGUUUUGCAAAUUCGUGCUGAAAGUCUGUGCUUCCGCAAAAGCCGGCCAAAGCGGCUAUUUAAAACCCGAAUAGAAACACCGGAAGCGAUUCGCGGCACACGGCACACGGUCCCAUCCAUUCUGUUGCCCGACGGCCGUAAAGCAAGGCCCCCGCCGAUCGAGCCUCGCCAUCGAAUGUGCCGGGGCAAUAGUAAGCCGCGGCCCCGGUGUGACCGGCUGUCGGUCGAACGUGUUGAGAUGAUGCGCUGAUAGCCGGUUCCGCCAUGCAGUCAGAGAGGGCGCUUAUCAUCCGAUUCCGGGAACCCAACCACGAGGCACACGAUGCAACGCGUCGCACGGAAAAUGAACCAUCAUCAUUCACCCUGGGUUAAAUUAUCCUACUCUCUCUCUCCCCGCCUGUGCCCUCGUUCGUGCCACAGCCAUCCCGCCACCACUGAAAUGCCGAUGACAAUGUUCCGGUGUCCAAAUCCCUAACAAACCAGCGUGUUGCCGCACGUACCGAACCUCCACUAUCAGCCGUUCUUGCCGCCGUUGUCCUCCACGUUCUAUGUUCUAUCUUUUGCGCCGCUUAUCAUUGUGCACACAGACCCACUGCCAGGCGAAGGGCCAACGCACCGAGCGAGCGAGCGGCGUCGAAAACGCGCGACGGUCGACACAUUACCUGGGAUCCCGGGCGGUUUCGGAACGGUUGGAAGGAUCGGUUUUAAAGUCGGCCCGUGAAAGCGAAGCCGAACGUAUUUGCUCACACAAUCUACAUCCCACCCCAUUGGCCGUCCCGAUUGGCCCCGCGAGCAACACACAUUUGAAUAAGGAUAAGGUCAUCAUCGUUCGUCGGUCCGUUUCCUUCGCUUACUGGGACUGUUUUCCCGGAUGACGCUAAAGCCAGCGGGCCCCGGUACCAGCUGGUGGCCAUUUUAUGAUGCGUACAAUGCGUGCCUUCAUUCCCGAGAACGUUUGACUGGUCCCGCAUUUCGAUUGGGUUUUAGCGGAGCUGAUAAGAACGGGGACGGAAUCUGAAUCAAAGCUGCCGGUAUGGGACAGCAUUCUAAAGGUCCACGGGGUGAGUUUCAGGGUGCACAGUAUGCACAGCACCCAAAAGCCCUGAAGAUGAUCAUACGUGAGUUAAUGUGUGUGUGUGUGUGUUUGUGGGCUGAUUGUGUGAAUAAGUGUGCGACCGUGUGUUGUCGAACGAAAAGCCAACGCAACCCAAUUUCGUUCUUUGUGUCGCGCGGUGCUGGGAAGAUAGGGAAGAUGCCAAGCGCCGUGACGCAGAUUCCCUCCCCUUUGCCCGGGCUGCCGUUGUUUACCGAAAGUAUCAUAUAGUGAUAAUACGUGCCUCGGUGCCUCGGAAAGGAAAGUACGUUAAGAUUUCGCCUUCACACCGACACCCAGGACAGCUGCUGCGGCAAAAGGCCGCCAUCCCGCCAUUUCCCAAGCGCAAUCGGAGCGUCUUCUGCGCAGCGUCUUCUUUGUUCGUGCAGGCUGUCGAGAAAUGGCUGCCAAGGCAGGCAAGAAGUAUUGCCUUCUUCGACCGUCUUCCCUCAAUCCGGGACCGUUCCCGGAUUGGAGCUUAGUCAUCGAAUUCGUACUAUUGUACACACCCCGGGUGCCGUUGUUGUGAGAUGGCGGCCAGUUGUGUGUUUGUGGCGAGAGGUUGCGGGACGCGGCAGCGCCUUGGAAGCUCCGGGUAAAGGCUUUCUGCCAUCUCAGCCCCUUUCCCGCAGGGGUUUGUGCUGAUUCAUGCAAGGCGAUCUAAUAGCUUGAACCCCAAGAACCGUCGGUUUUCCACCGGAAGGAUGCGAACCCAGGACACGUCCCCAGGUCCGGGCGUUUGAAUCCGUAUCCGUUACCGCUCUGAGUCUGAGCACGCGGCGUGAUAGAUUAAAUCGUGCAAGGCUUCUUGGGUUUAAGCUCUGUUUGUGGCGCUCUGCGGCUUCUGUUUGAAGGCAAACACGUAUGACCGAUAGAACGAUAAGAGGAUGUGUGAAAUAGUUUCCUUUUGAUUCGAUUUCAACGCUUUAGAUCCAUUCUAGAGAUCUUUCUUUGGAGUCUUUCUUGUAGGUUUAACUUUGUAAUUGUGUAUAGAAAUUGGAAAUAGCCAUACUUUUUCCUCGAAACUUUGUCUAUUGGACCAGGGGUCUCCAAACUACGGCCCGCGGGCCGCAUGCGGCCCUCAUGCGCUUUUAAUGCGGCCCGCGAGGACUGGGUUAAGGUUAAAUUAAAUAGCUUUCUUUUCUAACAGAUUAUUUUUUUUACUUCUGAAAGAUGAAAAUCAAGAUUCAAUUAAAGAAAGCUGCAGAAAUUUGAUAUAUUUCAAUAGUAUUUUCUUAUUAAAACGAUAUUUGAACUUCUACUCAUUCUAAAGGUAGCGUCAAAAUGGCCUUCAACAAGGUUGAUUGUGAAGCAAUGCGGCCCGCGAACUGAAAAGUUUGGAGACCCCUGUAUUGGACUAUUGAAUUCUAAAGCUCAGCGCCUUACUGGGUGCUUUUUCGUCCCAAGCAACGCACUGGCAUUGAUUUAUCUUAUCGACAACAGAUUCCCGGACAACUGAUUGUAAAAAAACCGGUUUAAAAUGAUUCGCCGGCCUGCUCCAUUGUUUAUCUAUGGCGGUGACAUUUGAUUGGGUUGUAAGCGAUAAUGGGUGUUUUAUCAAAACCGAUCGACACCUAACGUCGGGUUUGCCGCCAAACAUGGACGAUUGAUGUUCAGAUUUUUUUUUAUUUAUUAAAUUAGCCACCACAAAACAACAACAGAAAGAAAAAAGUGAACAACCAACCAGUAGCGGCGAAGUAGUUGUCUUCUUGCUGGUGGCACCGAUUUGAUUUGUGUCCCCCGGGAGGUACAGCUGGAAUUGUGUGUGUGUGUGUUUUUAUGAAGGAAGGUUGGCUAAUUUUAAAUCGAUAACUGACCGAGUUGUGCUUCCGUCUAUCAGCCGCUCGAAGUGGCGCGUGACUUUUGGGGGCCACUUUUUGUCGACGCUUUCCGGUCUAUCUUUCUGGGCACGCGACAUGCGUACCAGUUGCUUUAUCAGCAGCUGGCGAGACGUGCGUAACCGUUCACCGACGGCAUUUAAGAUCGUUGAUACUAUUUCUGUAGAUUUGUUGAUUUGUUGAUUUGCGGCUGAUCGGUAUUUCGUGGAAAAUCGGUGGACUAGCGGAGGGAGGUGUGUCGAUUAAUUUACGACACCCUGAAUCACUCGCCAAACAUUUGCGAAUUAUGUUUGGCUGCCCCGUAACCUAAUCAAACGCGUUUUAAUACCAAGCUAAGAGUUUUUAAAACUGUUUGCAAAGCUAAUUCAACCAAACGCUACGUUUUAAGCCGCGUCACAUCUCGCCCCUCUCGCGCGAUCGCAUCGUUUAGUAAGGCACUCAUGAGUACCCGCAGACCCCGUUAGUUAGUGUGGCUUGGUCAGCAGCCUAACUCGCCAACCGGGGUUUGCUUAGUUGUUUGUUUUCUCCAUUCCCGGCAUUCCGGCAAAUGUGUUUGUGUUCACAAAAAAUCAUCGUAUCAUUACAAUAAUCACAUAGCAAGCCACUUCCAGCUCGUUGCGUCUCCGUUUCUCCCAUUGCCACGCAACCAGCUGACAGCAAAGGCAGCUUGAAGAAAGAACACGCUCAAAAAAGCAUUCCCCAAAUCGAUUUUUAAGGCCUUAAAGUGCCUUUUCCAAAGCGAAGCCACAGACUGCCGAAACCGCCGCAGUAAACAAGCGUCGCACACGGAACUGCACGAGGUAUGGCCCCCGGGAGGACGGGGGACGGGCAAGCGGUUCCGUCUGGGUAAGGUAAGUGAAAAUGUACAUAAAUCCCAUCGCAUCGCAUCGAGCAACCAUCUCACCUCCGAAAAAUCACAGCUAAUAAUUAAGAAAUAAACAUUGUUAAAGCUUAUCGGACAAACAGCGACUCGGCCGUGCGGCAUGAGACACGGAGGAAGAAUAAAAAUUGCUUGUCUAAAUAUUGUGUCUCGGAGUUGGUGUUUUUUGUGUGUGGCUCGAUUUUUUUUGGUUUUACUUUUGGUAGCGCGAAACCAUUCGUAUACCUCGCCAUGCAGCUUGGGUAGGAAUGAUCCGAAAAAACAAAAACCCCUCACCGUACUGAAGGUGUCGGUUGUAUGAGUCGUGUGACUUUAAGAAUGGUUUCGCUGGUCAUUACACAUUUUCAAGGUAGAAAGGCAACGACAUUUAUGCAAUGAGCGUGUUUGGUUUGGAUGGUUUACCCUCCAGCACGGACAUCUAUCGUUCGAUUUCCCCGGCCUAAGCCCAACUAUUGGCGUCAAAAGUCACACCAACCAACAACUCCGGCCGUCAGUUUUGACAGUUGGUGCAGCUGCUGCUGCUGUGACCGUGGGGUCGUCCAAGAAUCCUCUGCUUACCCUCACCCUGUACGCAACGCGCCGCCUGUAUGUAGUUAUCUACCGAUCCGGUACGUCACAAAAGGUGCAAUUCAAUUACAGUGUCCUUGCAUACGCCUUUUUAUAUUGUCUGCUGUGCGUGUGUUUACCUAUUGACAGUUACCUAAACCCAGGCACCCAGGCUUGAAGGGUGGACACGGUGGACAGUUGCGCUUGGUUCGGCCAGGGUGCCCCAAUUAUAAUGUGACCAUCGUGUUGUAAGAAGAUAGCGCUCUGUGACAGGAGCGAAGGGAAGAGUGACCGACAGAAUAACAACCACAACAUAAAAACUGAUUUGUCAUUGCAUGUAGGGCUGAUCGAGAAUGUCGACUUAUAACUAUUAGGAUCGUCAGUUUGUGGAGGAAUAGAUGAACAGAUCGUGGUUGGAAUGGAACGUGUCAUGGAAUGAUGUGGCAUUUUUGUGAAUAGUGUGCCAUGAACAUUGUACUUACUCUUGACAAUAAUAAAGGCAAUUCGGCAAACUGUUAUACACUGUUAUACGGUGUAUGUUUUGAGUAUUAUCAUGCUUAAUUUUAUUAUUUUCUUCUUUAACUUAUCCUUUAUUUUCAUCUCGACCAGCACUGGUGCUAGAUUCAACUGAUGAAGAGCAUCAGCAAUAUCUUUUACCCACUUACGCUUGCACCGGGCGAACAGUCUGAAGUGAUCGACGAUGCUCACUGCGCUCACGCUGGACGUGCUCAAAACUGCCGAUUGCAUUCGACCGUGAUAUGCUCCACCACCCAGGACCACCCAGGUUCGUACUGGAUCCUUCAAGCACCGUGACUCUUGCUGGCCACGGCCUCCCGGCAGUCCGUGUAAGCGCAGUGACAUCAUUCGGCAUUCGGUACUUACUGCCUGUACGCCGUCGUCGUGAUGGAGAAGACUUUAUUUAUAGAAGCCUACGCCGUGUCCGUCGAGGGAGGGAAAAAAAAGCACGAGACAAACGAAGACGGAGGCAAACAAAUUAUGCUGCAAAGGUAAGAAACCGUGGGACAGUUUGGUUGGUUAGUGAAACCGAUAAAAACUCGUCCAUGAGGACCAGAGCUGAGAGAUGAUUAUUUUCACGGUUAUGAAGGUACUUUGGGGAUGAAUUGAUGUUUACCUUUUUAUGUUUUCCCCAAAAACAUUAAACUAGACUUAUUCAUUUAAAGAUAAGCUAUCUGGAUCUAUUUCGCUGUUUUGUUUGGCAUGCGCCUCCCUUGUCUAGAGUAGCACUCUCCACAAGAUUAUUGCAUCCAAUGUUUGCGCACGUAAGCAAUGGGACAAAACAUUCAAAUUAAACCUCAUUUUGCGUUCCGGCAUGCACCAAAGAUUGAUGGAAAUGAACAAACGACAUCGACCACGGCCACCACAUUAAGGGAACUCAUUGAAAGGAUUAAAGCCCAUAAUGAUAUUGACACACUUCAGGUACUCAAGGACCCAUUCAACAGCGGAGUCGGAUCGGUGUACAGUGAGUACAGUCACGGGCAUGCACGCGCCUACCCGCCAAGCAAGCGGAGGUAGAACAAUAGGCCUCCGAAACCCAAUUCGUAGGGCGGAAGUUACGGGUGGAAGUUUCCGUUUUUUUCUUCCUUCCGUUCGCCGAAACACCUGUAGCAUGGUGGCAGUUCCGGAGCUUUUCUACCCCUUGGAAUGGUUGUGAAUAAUGAAUAAUAAAGUAGCCCGUUUCGUUGCCCACAAAUCCGUUGCCCCUGAUGGUCGGCUUACCGCUGCUAGAGGAAGGCAACUGGGAAAUGGGUGACUGGUUUCUUUUUUUGUUGUAGAUUCGUCACUUUUCGGAACCAGAUCUGACCGACCGAUCCAUUCACAACCGAGCGAGUGGUUGUACCGUUUUGUUUCGGACUUCCAGACUCCUUCCGCCAAAUCGGCACACGCUCAAUGGACUGGAAAAUGCGUUCGAGUCGCUGGAAGCUCUAUUUUUAGGCAUUGAUAGACGCAGAGGGCCACUUAGCGGGACAAUAACGGGCGGAACGGCACAUGAAAUUGAAGGCAGGACAAUGGAUGCGCAGAUCUCGCUUCCUGACACGGCAGCAAAGCAGCAGCACUUCAGCUUCCUGCCCAACUGGCAUAAGGUUCGGCUGUGUUUUUCCGUGACCUACUCAUCAGACCGAACCCAGACGAUACGUCCGUCCAAUGUGCCUGCACGGUCGCACAAAAGCAGCAUCCAAACACGCGGCGAAGCUUUCGUUUUCACCCUUCGACAUGGAACAUUACAGCCAGUGCGUGUACGGGUUUAUCAAAUUUAAUUAACAUGUGAUUGUUAAAAAGGAAUAUUUCCAGCUCCGCCGCUUCGUUGUGGUGGUGGACGUUUGUGUUAUUUCUUGUUCGGUCCGUCAAUCUUCUCAAAUUUCAACCAAGCUCUCGCCACCACUCCCGGGGCACCUGCACCGGGCGGCAAUCUCAUUGAUUGCAAUCCGCAAAACAGGGUCCAGCCCAAUGCCCAAUGGACCUCCCAGACCGUUGCCCAGAGCCCGUGUCCGACCCUUGCCGUCCGCACCUUUGGAAAGGGUGUGAAUUUAUUCGAAGCGAAAUAACGAAAACACAGCAACGAUACGGCUAGAACGUUUUAUUGCUCAUCCUCUUUGUACGUGCGCAGCGCAUUCCGGCUUGCCUCCCCCUCGCCGGAGUACAGGUAUCUUUGUGGCGUUAACUGUUGUUAAGAGCCUUUUACGAGAUGCACAAGAUAAAAGGUGAUGCCGGGGAUCGAAACGGAGAGAGAGACGAAACAAAAAGCCUUCCUCUGACCGGUUUACUUCCGUGGGUAAGCGUGAGGCCAGCUUAGUCUUCUGAGAGUCAGAACCCGACCACGGCCACGGUCGGCGUCUCGAUUGAAAGCGCUCAAGCGAUCUUGAUCGAACUGAAGCGGUUUGUGUUGCGAUGGAUCUGAACGUGAAGGACACACUCUCGGUGGAAUUCGUCAGUGAAAUGCAGAACAAGUGGACACUUGUUCGAAUCAUUACGUACCUUUCCCAGGCGCACCGUGCCCAAAACAAUGGACGUGAUUGAGCUUUUAAGCUCGGGAGACGCAGCGCAUCAUGUUCUAGACACGCGAGCCGCAAAGGACCACCCAGGUUGAGGUUCUAGCUAGCUUACCGAUCCAAAACCGACGACUUGUCCCCGAGGUGUGUCCCGUGUGUGGUUGGGAAUUUCUUCCCCAGCGUACCGCGGGCUACCGUACGCGAUCUGCACUCUGCUGAGCCUUUCGUCUGUCUGCACUUCGCGGUCAAAGACGUUCAUUCAUAAACCCUUCGCAUUAUCCGGCCCGGCCGAAAGGGUGUUUGUGCAACCCGGCCCAGGUAAAUGGCCCGCCGUUAAGUCGGGAGAUUAAUUGUGUGUUUGGUUUUGCGCGUUCCGGUUUGACCUCAUCGUAGCGGAUGGAGGACGCGAUGUCGCUCCGAUCCGUUGCCGUGUUAGCCGAGUGCGCUAUGCUCCAGAGGCGGAAAGCGUCUGCUGCAGCUGCGGUACCGUGUGCAUGCGGUCGAUCAAUGGGCCUGAUUGUUGUACGAUAUUGAGGUGACCUUAAAUAUUGCUAAAAGGUACCCGAUAUGUUUUAUUUUCUGUUUGCUAAGGUUGUUGGACAGGAAGCUCGGAUGCUCGCUGUACGUGCCGCAUGACGUAUGGGUUCGGGUUGGGAUGUCUUGGUGCAGGUCACGGAAAUUGUCCCGUUUAAGCGAUGUGAAAGUGACUCCCGUUAGCGGGAGUGGUCUUUUAAAACUCCAUAAAAAACACAAUCAGCCUCAAUGUUCAAUGGUACCAUUUCUGGAGGGUCUGUAGUUCGAUAUUUGGGAGAAAAGGGUCUUUAGUCCAUGGUUAAUUUACAUAGUUGAAAGUAAUAUGAAUGUUGUGUGAGGCAAAACAAGUUGGUACACUCUAUGCAUACUAUACAAAACAAUUUGAUGUAUCAUAUUCUUGAAAACUUUAUAUUUUUGCCACUGUAUAACAGGCAAAAAUCUACGUAAACCUCUCAAUGAAUGAUUUCAGCACCGUUUUCCAAACUGCAAUAACCGACAGCUUUACAGCUCAACGAACACUCCAAACGCCCCUUUUCACCGUUGCUGACACGAUGAAUCAUUAAUAUUGUACCAAAAACUGAAUCCUUCCACCGUGUCUCACCGGGCUUUACAAGUUUGCUCCAUAAUCUCGGGCAAACACCGAUCCACCCAGCACUUCAAAGGGAUCAUCCCGGGGCGGCUGUCUGCCUACUCAACCCGACCAAAUUUCGCCGACACCGGCGACCAAAUAACUGCCAAAUACUUAAUUUCAUCCACCCUUUUCACCGAGCAAAUCUCAGCCAAAUUGACGAGUGAAAGACGACGGCAUUGGCCGUGGUUGCCGACCGAAGUGCGUGAUAAUCUACCGUGAUUCUUCCAAGGAGCACCCUCCCCCAAAACGGCCCGUGCCUGGACUGGUCCGGCCCCGGAGCGAUAAAUCAGCAACCAGCCACAAAACGAAUUCAUUCCCUUCCGGGCCAGCAUGCUCUACUCACUUCCUAGCCAAGCGGUUCCUGAAUGCUAAUAAAAUGUACCGACCGAGAGUAGCGCAGAGGUUGAACGCGUUUUCCCCCUGCAGGGGUCAAUUCUCCCUCGCGUAUGUACGCGUGUGUGUAUAUCUCGUGUGCUGCCGUAGCAAAAGGGAAAACCGACAGCGCGGGUACUUUCGGUGAGGGUGAGCUCGACUCGAGUACACGGUGUACGCAGACAGUACAGGGGUACGGGAUAUUAAUAAACGUUUAAGGAUACAGCCAAUUGUGUAAGAACCGAAGCAAAUGCUUAAGGAUGGGAAACAAAUUGCCGCUUCUGCAUCCUUCCACUGCGGGUGGGUGUUUUUCGAGGCUUUUGGCCCAGUCCGGGAAGCGAAGGGUAGAUCGACAAUAGCAAUAGCAAGGACCUAGUACAAAUAGAGCGCCACGGGUGGUGUGUAUUGUUGUGCUGUUACACCGAUAUAGGGUGUGGGUGGGUAUUGUUUGGAGGCGUGAAAAUGGCAAGCUUUGUUACACUGUGUUUGAUAUCUAUAUUGUUUAGCUAAAGUAAUAGGAAAUGAAGAAUUAUUUGCUGGUUGAUGUAGACGGAAA